GACGAACGCUGGCGGCGUGCUUAACACAUGCAAGUCGAACGGUGAAGGGACCGGUUUUUGCUGGUUCUGGAUGAGUGGCGAACGGGUGAGUAACACGUGAGUAACCUGCCCCCUUCUUCUGGAUAACCGCAUGAAAGUGUGGCUAAUACGGGAUAUUCUGCGCCUGCUGCAUGGUGGGUGUGGGAAAGAUAUUGUUUCGGUGGGGGAUGGGCUCGCGGCCUAUCAGCUUGUUGGUGGGGUGAUGGCCUACCAAGGCGGUGACGGGUAGCCGGCCUGAGAGGGUGGACGGUCACACUGGGACUGAGACACGGCCCAGACUCCUACGGGAGGCAGCAGUGGGGAAUAUUGCACAAUGGGCGCAAGCCUGAUGCAGCGACGCCGCGUGAGGGAUGGAGGCCUUCGGGUUGUAAACCUCUUUCGCCAGUGAAGCAGGCCAGUCCCUGUUGUGGGUGGGUUGACGGUAGCUGGAUAAGAAGCGCCGGCUAACUACGU
RNAcentral lists this ribosomal RNA (492 nucleotides) under uncultured bacterium. Its description in RNAcentral is "partial 16S ribosomal RNA". It matches the Rfam family "Bacterial small subunit ribosomal RNA", at positions 28 to 506 of the family's 1533-position model. The record is from RNAcentral.